AGAUAGCUGGUUCUCCCCGAAAGCUAUUUAGGUAGCGCCUCGUGAACUCAUCUCCGGGGGUAGAGCACUGUUUCGGCUAGGGGGCCAUCCCGGCUUACCAACCCGAUGCAAACUGCGAAUACCGGAGAAUGUUAUCACGGGAGACACACGGCGGGUGCUAACGUCCGUCGUGAAGAGGGAAACAACCCAGACCGCCAGCUAAGGUCCCAAAGUCAUGGUUAAGUGGGAAACGAUGUGGGAAGGCCCAGACAGCCAGGAUGUUGGCUUAGAAGCAGCCAUCAUUUAAAGAAAGCGUAAUAGCUCACUGGUCGAGUCGGCCUGCGCGGAAGAUGUAACGGGGCUAAACCAUG
This 350-nucleotide ribosomal RNA is filed under the name Salmonella enterica. RNAcentral describes it as "partial 23S ribosomal RNA". It matches the Rfam family "Bacterial large subunit ribosomal RNA", at positions 843 to 1191 of the family's 2925-position model. Lineage: Bacteria; Pseudomonadati; Pseudomonadota; Gammaproteobacteria; Enterobacterales; Enterobacteriaceae. The record is from RNAcentral.